GACGAACGCUGGCGGCGCGCCUAACACAUGCAAGUCGAACGAGAGAUGAGGAGCUUGCUCUUCAAAUCGAGUGGCGAACGGGUGAGUAACGCGUGAGGAACCUGCCUCAAAGAGGGGGACAACAGUUGGAAACGACUGCUAAUACCGCAUAAGCCCACGGCUCGGCAUCGAGCAGAGGGAAAAGGAGCAAUCCGCUUUGAGAUGGCCUCGCGUCCGAUUAGCUAGUUGGUGAGGUAACGGCCCACCAAGGCAACGAUCGGUAGCCGGACUGAGAGGUUGAACGGCCACAUUGGGACUGAGACACGGCCCAGACUCCCACGGGAGGCAGCAGUGGGGAAUAUUGCACAAUGGGGGAAACCCUGAUGCAGCGACGCCGCGUGGAGGAAGAAGGUCUUCGGAUUGUAAACUCCUGUUGUUGAGGAAGAUAAUGACGGUACUCAACAAGGAAGUGACGGCUAACUACGUGCCAGCAGCCGCGGUAAAACGUAGGUCACAAGCGUUGUCCGGAAUUACUGGGUGUAAAGGGAGCGCAGGCGGGAGAACAAGUUGGAAGUGAAAUCCAUGGGCUCAACCCAUGAACUGCUUUCAAAACUGUUUUUCUUGAGUAGUGCAGAGGUAGGCGGAAUUCCCGGUGUAGCGGUGGAAUGCGUAGAUAUCGGGAGGAACACCAGUGGCGAAGGCGGCCUACUGGGCACCAACUGACGCUGAGGCUCGAAAGUGUGGGUAGCAAACAGGAUUAGAUACCCUGGUAGUCCACACCGUAAACGAUGAUUACUAGGUGUUGGAGGAUUGACCCCUUCAGUGCCGCAGUUAACACAAUAAGUAAUCCACCUGGGGAGUACGACCGCAAGGUUGAAACUCAAAGGAAUUGACGGGGGCCCGCACAAGCAGUGGAGUAUGUGGUUUAAUUCGACGCAACGCGAAGAACCUUACCAAGUCUUGACAUCCCUUGACGAUGCUGGAAACAGUAUUUCUCUUCGGAGCAAGGAGACAGGUGGUGCAUGGUUGUCGUCAGCUCGUGUCGUGAGAUGUUGGGUUAAGUCCCGCAACGAGCGCAACCCUUAUGGUCAGUUACUACGCAAGAGGACUCUGGCCAGACUGCCGUUGACAAAACGGAGGAAGGUGGGGAUGACGUCAAAUCAUCAUGCCCUUUAUGACUUGGGCUACACACGUACUACAAUGGCGUUAAACAAAGAGAAGCAAGACCGCGAGGUGGAGCAAAACUCAGAAACAACGUCCCAGUUCGGACUGCAGGCUGCAACUCGCCUGCACGAAGUCGGAAUUGCUAGUAAUCGUGGAUCAGCAUGCCACGGUGAAUACGUUCCCGGGCCU
RNAcentral lists this ribosomal RNA (1332 nucleotides) under uncultured bacterium. RNAcentral describes it as "bacterial SSU rRNA". It matches the Rfam family "Bacterial small subunit ribosomal RNA", at positions 28 to 1381 of the family's 1533-position model. The record is from RNAcentral.